UUGCGGAGAGUUUGAUCCUGGCUCAGGAUGAACGCUGGCGGCGUGCCUAAUACAUGCAAGUCGAACGAGGUGCUUUUGUAGCAAUACGAGAGUAUCCUAGUGGCGAACGGGUGAGUAACGCGUGGGUGACCUGCCCCAAAGUGUGGGAUAACAGAUCGAAAGAUCUGCUAAUACCGCAUGUGGUUAUCGGGUUUAGAAAGCGAUAACUAAAGCAGCAAUGCGCUUUGGGAGGGACCUGCGUCCCAUCAGCUAGUUGGUGAGGUAACGGCUCACCAAGGCGACGACGGGUAGGGGACCUGAGAGG
Molecule: ribosomal RNA, 304 nt
Filed under: Chloroflexota bacterium
Lineage: Bacteria; Bacillati; Chloroflexota
Also listed under: 1 other name
Description: Chloroflexi bacterium partial 16S ribosomal RNA
Rfam family: Bacterial small subunit ribosomal RNA
Source: RNAcentral